AAUAGAUACCCGGGUAGUCCACGCCGUAAACGAUGAGUGCUAAGUGUUAGGGGGUUUCCACCCCUUAGUGCUGUAGCUAACGCAUUAAGCACUCCGCCUGGGGAGUACGGUCGCAAGACUGAAACUCAAAGGAAUUGACGGGGGCCCGCACAAGCGGUGGAGCAUGUGGUUUAAUUCGAAGCAACGCGAAGAACCUUACCAGGUCUUGACAUCCCGGCGACCGCUAUGGAGACAUAGCUUUCCCUUCGGGGACGACGGUGACAGGUGGUGCAUGGUUGUCGUCAGCUCGUGUCGUGAGAUGUUGGGUUAAGUCCCGCAACGAGCGCAACCCUUGUUCUUAGUUGCCAUCAUUCAGUUGGGCACUCUAAGGAGACUGCCGCAGACAAUGCGGAGGAAGGUGGGGAUGACGUCAAAUCAUCAUGCCCCUUAUGACCUGGGCUACACACGUGCUACAAUGGACGGUACAAACGGUUGCCAAGUCGCGAGACGGAGCUAAUCCGAAAAAACCGUUCUCAGUUCGGAUUGCAGGCUGC
This 533-nucleotide ribosomal RNA is filed under the name uncultured bacterium. RNAcentral describes it as "bacterial SSU rRNA". It matches the Rfam family "Bacterial small subunit ribosomal RNA", at positions 777 to 1308 of the family's 1533-position model. The record is from RNAcentral.